Molecule: transfer RNA, 81 nt
Filed under: Kurixalus appendiculatus (Philippine flying frog)
Lineage: Eukaryota; Metazoa; Chordata; Amphibia; Anura; Rhacophoridae
Description: tRNA-Val
Rfam family: tRNA (bases 1-69)
About the family: Transfer RNA (tRNA) molecules are approximately 80 nucleotides in length. Their secondary structure includes four short double-helical elements and three loops (D, anti-codon, and T loops). Further hydrogen bonds mediate the characteristic L-shaped molecular structure. tRNAs have two regions of fundamental functional importance: the anti-codon, which is responsible for specific mRNA codon recognition, and the 3' end, to which the tRNAs corresponding amino acid is attached (by aminoacyl-tRNA synthetases). tRNAs cope with the degeneracy of the genetic code in two manners: having more than one tRNA (with a specific anti-codon) for a particular amino acid; and 'wobble' base-pairing, i.e. permitting non-standard base-pairing at the 3rd anti-codon position.
Source: RNAcentral
CAAAAUGUAGCUUAACUAGAGCAACUCGCUUACAUCGAGAAGACAUCUGUGCAAUUCAGAUCAUUUUGAGCCUAAAAUCUA